This 326-nucleotide ribosomal RNA is filed under the name uncultured eukaryote. Its description in RNAcentral is "partial 18S ribosomal RNA". It matches the Rfam family "Eukaryotic small subunit ribosomal RNA", at positions 1470 to 1796 of the family's 1831-position model. The record is from RNAcentral.
CCCUUAGAUGUUCUGGGCCGCACGCGCGCUACACUGACGAUGGCAACGAGUUUUUCCUUCGCCGAAAGGUGUGGGUAAUCUUUUGAAACAUCGUCGUGCUGGGGAUAGAUCAUUGCAAUUUUUGAUCUUGAACGAGGAAUUCCUAGUAAGCGCGAGUCAUCAUCCCGCGCUGAAUACGUCCCUGCCCUUUGUACACACCGCCCGUCGCUCCUACCGAUUGAGUGGUCCGGUGAGGCUUUGGGAUCUGAGCGGAAAGAGCGUUUCGCUGUUUCUGCUCGGAAAACUCAGUCGAACCUUAUCAUUUAGAGGAAGGAGAAGUCGUAACA